RNAcentral lists this transfer RNA (77 nucleotides) under Lentisphaerales bacterium. RNAcentral describes it as "tRNA-His". It matches the Rfam family "tRNA". Rfam says of the family: Transfer RNA (tRNA) molecules are approximately 80 nucleotides in length. Their secondary structure includes four short double-helical elements and three loops (D, anti-codon, and T loops). Lineage: Bacteria; Pseudomonadati; Lentisphaerota; Lentisphaeria; Lentisphaerales. The record is from RNAcentral. RNAcentral also lists the same sequence under 1 other name.
GCGGGCGUAGCUCAGUUGGUUAGAGCGUCAGGUUGUGGUCCUGAAUGUCGCGGGUUCGAAUCCCGUCGCUCGCCCCA